RNAcentral lists this small RNA (601 nucleotides) under Pongo abelii (Sumatran orangutan). RNAcentral describes it as "processed transcript". The record is from RNAcentral. Lineage: Eukaryota; Metazoa; Chordata; Mammalia; Primates; Hominidae.
GCUUCCAUCCCUGGCGGGCCGGCGGGCGGGUUCCCCAUCCAGGCCGCUGCACCUGUCAGGUGAGGGGGAGGAGAGGUUUGGCUGCCAGAUUCAACUGGAAAGGAACCAGUCCCAGUCCAGCCGCAACCUGGGAGUGGGAAGCUGGAGGCAGCCCAGACCUCCUGGAGCCCUGCAGUCCUGGGGCAGAGACAGAAUCAGGACACAGCUCGAGGGGAGCAAGCUGGAGGAGCAGGACCCUAGACCUCUGCAGCCCACACCAGGGGUCAUGGAGGGGAACAAGCUGGAGGAGCAGGACUCUAGCCCUCCACAGCCCACCCCAGGGCUCAUGAAGGGGGACAAGCGUGAGGAGCAGGGGCUGGGCCCCGAACCUGCGGCGCCCCAGCAGCCCACGGCGGAGGAGGAGGCCCUGAUCGAGUUCCACCGCUCCUACCGAGAGCUCUUCGAGUUCUUCUGCAACAACACCACCAUCCACGGCGCCAUCCGCCUGGUGUGCUCCCAGCACAACCGCAUGAAGACGGCCUUCUGGGCAGUGCUGUGGCUCUGCACCUUUGGCAUGAUGUACUGGCAAUUCGGCCUGCUAUUCGGAGAGUACUUCAGCUAC